RNAcentral lists this transfer RNA (73 nucleotides) under Felis catus (domestic cat). It matches the Rfam family "tRNA". Rfam says of the family: Transfer RNA (tRNA) molecules are approximately 80 nucleotides in length. Their secondary structure includes four short double-helical elements and three loops (D, anti-codon, and T loops). Further hydrogen bonds mediate the characteristic L-shaped molecular structure. tRNAs have two regions of fundamental functional importance: the anti-codon, which is responsible for specific mRNA codon recognition, and the 3' end, to which the tRNAs corresponding amino acid is attached (by aminoacyl-tRNA synthetases). tRNAs cope with the degeneracy of the genetic code in two manners: having more than one tRNA (with a specific anti-codon) for a particular amino acid; and 'wobble' base-pairing, i.e. permitting non-standard base-pairing at the 3rd anti-codon position. Lineage: Eukaryota; Metazoa; Chordata; Mammalia; Carnivora; Felidae. The record is from Rfam by way of RNAcentral.
GCCCGGCUGGCUCAGUCAGUAGAGCAUACGACUCUUGAUCUCAGAGUCAUGAGUUCAAGCCCCAAGUUGGGCA